UACGUAGGGUGCAAGCGUUGUCCGGAAUUAUAGGGCGUAAAGGGCUCGUAGGCGGUUUGUCGCGUCGGGAGUGAAAACUCAGGGCUUAACCCUGAGCCUGCUUCCGAUACGGGCAGACUAGAGGUAUGCAGGGGAGAAUGGAAUUCCUGGUGUAGCGGUGAAAUGCGCAGAUAUCAGGAGGAACACCGGUGGCGAAGGCGGUUCUCUGGGCAUUACCUGACGCUGAGGAGCGAAAGUGUGGGGAGCGAACAGG
RNAcentral lists this ribosomal RNA (253 nucleotides) under uncultured bacterium. RNAcentral describes it as "partial 16S ribosomal RNA". It matches the Rfam family "Bacterial small subunit ribosomal RNA", at positions 524 to 776 of the family's 1533-position model. The record is from RNAcentral.